RNAcentral lists this ribosomal RNA (293 nucleotides) under uncultured bacterium. RNAcentral describes it as "partial 16S ribosomal RNA". It matches the Rfam family "Bacterial small subunit ribosomal RNA", at positions 213 to 507 of the family's 1533-position model. The record is from RNAcentral.
GGGGACCUAAAGAUGAGCCUGCGUCUGAUUAGGUAGUUGGCGGAGUAAUAGCCCACCAAGCCUGCGAUCAGUAGCUGGUCUGAGAGGAUGAUCAGCCACACUGGAACUGAGACACGGUCCAGACUCCUACGGGAGGCAGCAGUAAGGAAUAUUGCUCAAUGGCCGAAAGGCUGAAGCAGCAACGCCGCGUGGAGGAUGAAAUACUUUUGUAUGUAAACUCCUGUAAGAAGGGAAAAAUAUGCAGUUUUUCUGCAUUGAUUGUACCUUCAGAGUAAGCCCCGGCUAACUACGUG